This 58-nucleotide microRNA precursor is filed under the name Anolis carolinensis (green anole). Its description in RNAcentral is "Aca-Mir-17-P1c_pre stem-loop". It matches the Rfam family "mir-17 microRNA precursor family", at positions 12 to 69 of the family's 80-position model. From Rfam's summary of the family: This family represents the microRNA (miRNA) precursor mir-17, family, which includes mir-20, mir-91, and mir-103. miRNAs are transcribed as ~70nt precursors (modelled here) and subsequently processed by the Dicer enzyme to give a ~22nt product. In this case the mature sequence comes from the 3' arm of the precursor. Lineage: Eukaryota; Metazoa; Chordata; Lepidosauria; Squamata; Anolidae. The record is from RNAcentral.
AAAAGUGCUUAUAGUGCAGGUAGUGUGUUGGCAUCUACUGCAGUGUUGGCACUUCCGU